Molecule: ribosomal RNA, 484 nt
Filed under: uncultured bacterium
Lineage: Bacteria
Description: partial 16S ribosomal RNA
Rfam family: Bacterial small subunit ribosomal RNA
Source: RNAcentral
AUUGAACGCUGGCGGCAGGCCUAACACAUGCAAGUCGAGCGGAUGAAGGGAGCUUGCUCCUGGAUUCAGCGGCGGACGGGUGAGUAAUGCCUAGGAAUCUGCCUGGUAGUGGGGGAUAACGUCCGGAAACGGGCGCUAAUACCGCAUACGUCCUGAGGGAGAAAGUGGGGGAUCUUCGGACCUCACGCUAUCAGAUGAGCCUAGGUCGGAUUAGCUAGUUGGUGGGGUAAAGGCCUACCAAGGCGACGAUCUGUAACUGGUCUGAGAGGAUGAUCAGUCACACUGGAACUGAGACACGGUCCAGACUCCUACGGGAGGCAGCAGUGGGGAAUAUUGGACAAUGGGCGAAAGCCUGAUCCAGCCAUGCCGCGUGUGUGAAGAAGGUCUUCGGAUUGUAAAGCACUUUAAGUUGGGAGGAAGGGCAGUAAGUUAAUACCUUGCUGUUUUGACGUUACCAACAGAAUAAGCACCGGCUAACUUCGUC